Arachis ipaensis is the source of this 303-nucleotide non-coding RNA. NCBI's taxonomy places the organism in Eukaryota, Viridiplantae, Streptophyta, Magnoliopsida, Fabales, Fabaceae. The record is from RefSeq and is a predicted model, not a curated record.
CAAAUUUUGAAUACGGAUAUAACACAUUAAGAGAAACCAUGAUUUGUAACAAGUAGCUCUGUUGUGGUGCUACAGCUUGCAGAUUUGUUUGGCAGGAGGAGCCGAGGAGGCAGGCUUUGCUGAGAGAAAAUUGUGAUUUGUAUGGCACAUGCUUUAGUGUGAGCCGAGUGGUUUCGCUUAUUGAGCACCAUGGGCUUGGUAUUGGGCUUGGUCGAAAAGUUACAAGAGGGAAGGGGUGGAUAUGAAUGAAGGUUCAGCCAUAUACAGAGGCAACCAAAUUCAGAGUCGGGAAGAGAAAAUAGC